GGCCGGGUCUGGCGGUCGGACCUCUGGUUUGCACUGUCGGCCUGGUCUUUCCUUCUGGGGAACGUGCAUGCACUUUAUUGUUGUGUGCGCGGGAUCCAGGACUUUUACUUUGAAAAAAUUAGAGUGUUUAAAGCGGGCAUUUGCUUGAAUACAUUAGCAUGGAAUAAUAGAAUAGGACUUUGGUUCUAAUUUGUUGGUUUCUAGGACUAGAGUA
RNAcentral lists this ribosomal RNA (214 nucleotides) under uncultured fungus. RNAcentral's name for it is "partial small subunit ribosomal RNA". The stretch from base 46 to 214 matches the Rfam family "Eukaryotic small subunit ribosomal RNA", at positions 693 to 864 of the family's 1831-position model. The record is from RNAcentral. Lineage: Eukaryota; Fungi.